UGGGGAAUAUUGGACAAUGGGCGAAAGCCUGAUCCAGCCAUGCCGCGUGUGUGAUGAAGGUCUUCGGGUUGUAAAGCACUUUAAGCUGGGAGGAAGGGCAUUAACCUAAUACGUUAGUGUUUUGACGUUACCGACAGAAUAAGCACCGGCUAACUCUGUGCCAGCAGCCGCGGUAAUACAGAGGGUGCAAGCGUUAAUCGGAAUUACUGGGCGUAAAGCGCGCGUAGGUGGUUUGUUAAGUUGGAUGUGAAAGCCCCGGGCUCAACCUGGGAACUGCAUUCAAAACUGACAAGCUAGAGUAUGGUAGAGGGUGGUGGAAUUUCCUGUGUAGCGGUGAAAUGCGUAGAUAUAGGAAGGAACACCAGUGGCGAAGGCGACCACCUGGACUGAUACUGACACUGAGGUGCGAAAGCGUGGGGAGCAAACA
RNAcentral lists this ribosomal RNA (427 nucleotides) under uncultured Pseudomonas sp. RNAcentral describes it as "bacterial SSU rRNA". It matches the Rfam family "Bacterial small subunit ribosomal RNA", at positions 355 to 774 of the family's 1533-position model. The record is from RNAcentral. Lineage: Bacteria; Pseudomonadati; Pseudomonadota; Gammaproteobacteria; Pseudomonadales; Pseudomonadaceae.